GUGACAGGUGAGGUGUGACAGUUGAGGUGUGACAGGUGAGAUGUGACAGUUGAGGUGUGACACUUGAGGUGUGACAGGUGAGAUGUGACAGUUGAGGUGUGACAGUUGAGGUGUGACAGGUGAGGCGUGACAGUUGAGGUGUGACACUUGAGGUGUGACAGUUGAGGUGUGACACUUGAGGUGUGACAGUUGAGGUGUGACAGUUGAGGUGUGACAGUUGAGGUGUGACAGUUGAGGUGUGACAGUUGAGGUGUGACACUUGAGGUGUGACAGUUGAGGUGUGACAGUUGAGGUGUGACAGUUGAGGUGUGACACUUGAGGUGUGACAGUUGAGGUGUGACAGUUGAGGUGUGACAUCACCGUGAGAGCUUUAACAUCCACAGAAGCAGAGACACUGAGACUGUGACAGCAGCAAAACUUUAACAGUGAGACAGAGACGGACAGAUUGAUCAGUGUCCACACUGGAUCAAUAUCUACGUAUUAAUCAAUAUUGUCAAAAACACUGGAGUUGAUAAGCUGUUACUCAUGACACCUGACUGAUCAGUUAGCACUGUGGGCGGGACACUGAGCGAGGUGAUGAGUGCAGAUGGAGGCGGGCGGCUACAUCGAUAUUCAAUCAAUUCAUUUAAUCAGUUACUGGAUGAAAAAACAAAGUGCUGAAUAUUUCGACUGAUGAUCUGAUGGUUU
Molecule: long non-coding RNA, 687 nt
Organism: Epinephelus moara (kelp grouper)
Lineage: Eukaryota; Metazoa; Chordata; Actinopteri; Perciformes; Serranidae
Exons: 3
Source: RefSeq, a predicted model, not a curated record